This is a long non-coding RNA of Rana temporaria (common frog), 683 nucleotides long. RefSeq lists it as uncharacterized. The transcript has 2 exons. The record is from RefSeq and is a predicted model, not a curated record. NCBI's taxonomy places the organism in Eukaryota, Metazoa, Chordata, Amphibia, Anura, Ranidae.
UUUCUUUCUUUCUCUCUCUCAGAAGUUUUUCCAAAAGUCCGGAGAACAAGACCAUUGAGGAGGCCGGUGCAGCGUGCUGAAGAUGAAGGGGCGGCCCCCAGUAACAUGACCAAUGCCCUGACCUGCUGCGUGUGCAUGGAACUCUAUACGGAUCCGGUGUCUCUGCCGUGUGGCCAUAGCUACUGUAUGGGUUGUAUCACCAGGACGUGGCAGAACCAGCAUCCACGCGUGGCCUCCUGUCCUCUGUGCGCAAGGACCUACCCCAACAGGCCGAAGCUGAACAAGAACUGGGGCCUGUGUCAGUUAGUGGAGGUCUAUAGAGCUCAGCCCGGCCAACACUCCUAAUACAUGAGGUCCGGGGGGGUCUAUAGGUGAACAGAUCCCCCUGCGGGCCCCAAUAGACAUCAGAUACAGUAAAGACCAUCUCCGGGGGGAACAACAAUACUCACUUGCGGUGGAGUUGCCCUCACACUUCAGGCUUGAAGAGCUUCUACUGACUAUAUGGCUUUUACCUUCAUGCAUUCUAAUACUUGGUGCUCCACUUGAGUCUCCUUAGAUUUUAUCAGAUGUUAUAAAUGUGUUGAAAAGAAAAAGUGAGAGAAAUGUGCGAUGUUUUAGUGUUUUCUUUAUUCAUUAUUCUCUGUGAUUUUGGAUUUCAGUAAACAAACACUAUAUUAUCAAAA